GGGAAUGUGUCUUAAUGGUAGAGUGCUUGCCUUGCAUGCAUGAAGCCCUGGGUUUGAUUCCUCAGUACCA
Dipodomys ordii (Ord's kangaroo rat) is the source of this 70-nucleotide non-coding RNA. The record is from Rfam. Lineage: Eukaryota; Metazoa; Chordata; Mammalia; Rodentia; Heteromyidae.